AUGGGUCGCUGUAGAAUCGUGACCUGGUGCAGUAGAUCAUCCGAUCCGCUACAUCCCGCUCGACUCCUUACUCCUUGCAACCAGUUCCCGCUCCUGCCGUGCAGGCGCGCUUCUAAUAUUGAGUUUCAAGGAUACAAAGACAUGUCGAAUCGUCAGAACGGUACCGUCAAGUGGUUUAACGACGAAAAAGGUUUUGGUUUCAUCACUCCUGAGAGCGGUCCGGAUCUGUUCGUGCACUUCCGCGCGAUCGAAGGUAACGGCUUCAAGAGCCUGAAAGAAGGCCAGAAAGUCAGCUUCAUCGCUGUGCAAGGUCAAAAAGGCAUGCAGGCUGACCAGGUUCAAAUCCAGGAAUAAGCCCCGCUCCGAAAAGCCCCUGAUGGCAACAUCAGGGGCUUUUUU
Molecule: unclassified non-coding RNA, 399 nt
Filed under: Pseudomonas saudiphocaensis
Lineage: Bacteria; Pseudomonadati; Pseudomonadota; Gammaproteobacteria; Pseudomonadales; Pseudomonadaceae
Description: cspA
Source: RNAcentral